This 73-nucleotide transfer RNA is filed under the name Bos taurus (domestic cattle). It matches the Rfam family "tRNA". From Rfam's summary of the family: Transfer RNA (tRNA) molecules are approximately 80 nucleotides in length. RNAcentral also lists the same sequence under 5 other names. The record is from Rfam by way of RNAcentral. Lineage: Eukaryota; Metazoa; Chordata; Mammalia; Artiodactyla; Bovidae.
CCCCUCAUGGUCCAGUUGUUAAGAUUCUGCACUUCCAAUGCAGGGGGCACAGGUUUGAUCCCUGGUCAGGGAA